CCCGUGAACCUUUACUAUAGCUUGACACUGAACAUUGAGCCUUGAUGUGUAGGAUAGGUGGGAGGCUUUGAAGUGUGGACGCCAGUCUGCAUGGAGCCGACCUUGAAAUACCACCCUUUAAUGUUUGAUGUUCUAACGUUGGCCCGUAAUCCGGGUUGCGGACAGUGUCUGGUGGGUAGUUUGACUGGGGCGGUCUCCUCCUAAAGAGUAACGGAGGAGCACGAAGGUUGGCUAAUCCUGGUCGGACAUCAGGAGGUUAGUGCAAUGGCAUAAGCCAGCUUGACUGCGAGCGUGACGGCGCGAGCAGGUGCGAAAGCAGGUCAUAGUGAUCCGGUGGUUCUGAAUGGAAGGGCCAUCGCUCAACGGAUAAAAGGUACUCCGGGGAUAACAGGCUGAUACCGCCCAAGAGUUCAUAUCGACGGCGGUGUUUGGCACCUCGAUGUCGGCUCAUCACAUCCUGGGGCUGAAGUAGGUCCCAAGGGUAUGGCUGUUCGCCAUUUAAAGUGGUACGCGAGCUGGGUUUAGAACGUCGUGAGACAGUUCGGUCCCUAUCUGCCGUGGGCGCUGGAGAACUGAGGGGGGCUGCUCCUAGUACGAGAGGACCGGAGUGGACGCAUCACUGGUGUUCGGGUUGUCAUGCCAAUGGCACUGCCCGGUAGCUAAAUGCGGAAGAGAUAAGUGCUGAAAGCAUCUAAGCACGAAACUUGCCCCGAGAUGAGUUCUCCCUGACUCCUUGAGGGUCCUG
Molecule: ribosomal RNA, 745 nt
Filed under: Escherichia coli
Lineage: Bacteria; Pseudomonadati; Pseudomonadota; Gammaproteobacteria; Enterobacterales; Enterobacteriaceae
Description: partial 23S ribosomal RNA
Rfam family: Bacterial large subunit ribosomal RNA
Source: RNAcentral